UUGAACUCUUCUCAUGUUCCUCCAGCAGCCACAACUAAAGUACUGUAUCAGGACUGCCUUGGAACAUGAAACCAACUUACCGCUGUACUUUCCAUCUUGGAUGCUGAAGUUCUAGGGUAGGGUUGUCAGUAAAAUGCAGGACACCCAGUUAAAUUUAAAUUUCAAAUAAAUAAGAAAUAAUUUUUAGCCAUUAUUAUGGAGUUGUAGACCUGGUGUGGGGAGUAUGGGGAUCAACCUCAGAAGCCUCCAGAGAGAGAUUGGUGGACUCUAGGAGUGUCGAUCUCAGACUGACCAUCGCUGGGGCCACAUCCAAGCAGCAGCCCUUUGUCCAGAGCCAUUUCCUCCACUGGCCUCAGUUUCUGUAGGGCCCAGAUGGUGCUGAAGUCAGAUGCCAAGGGGAAAGUGACUUUACCCACGAGAGAGAUUUUUAAAUAUUCCCCCAACUGCUCCGAUGGGACCGUCUAGUUACAGGAAAACAAGCUCAAGGCUCCCACUGAUUCUACAUUACGAGCUGGAAGAAACGAAGAACCUCAACAAUUUUUAUUUCUACUUUUGAUCAAGGAAAAGCGUAUUUAGAAGGUUCGCUAGAGAAAAAUUUAGCAGUUUGGAGGAUUGAGAUCCUUUGGCAGAGAUAUGGGAGUGUGAGCAGGAAAUAUUUUUUUAAAGGAAGAGCUGGUGUUUUAGGAUGUCAAAGGUACAAAUUAUGAUGGUGCCAUGGUUGACAGAAAUUUGCAAGAUCUCCGUAUCUACAUGAACUCUUUGCUCCUGACUAUUAGCUGACUGGUCCAGAAAUUCUUGAUCCAAGCUUGAUAUGUAAGCUUCUCUCUCCUGUGAAUAUGGCACUGAGAGACACAAGAUUAGAAGCCCUGGGUGCUGAUCAAACUCAUAGCAAGGAAGAGUGGUGGCUCAAGACUGCCUGCUCCUGAGACUUCUGAGAAGGGUGUCUCUCUGUCUGUGUGGAUGCCUGAUGCUUCUGGUAUUUCACAAAUCUUGAGCCUGGCCAGGAGUUUACUAACAGGCACCCCUGUGUCAUCUGAACAAGAUAAAUAUCCCGCAGUGGAAUCAGCCUUCCCAGGGACCUCCCUGGACUCUGAGAAGUGAUUAAAGGGACUGUGCGGCAGUCAUGGGGAUGCAAGCAGCUGUGGCCAUCAAACUGGUUCUAACAGACAGUAUGAGAUCUUCAUGAUUCUGGACCAUAAGGAUUCCAAAUAGGCUGUUCACUUAUGAGUAGGCCUGUAACACGGACGUGUGAGAAUAAACGCCAGAGAAAAAUUUUUGUGGCUGGUCUACUUGUGGGUACAAAGGCCCAGACCCAUUGUUUCAACUGGAGACCUGUGAAGGGCGAUCCCAGCCUCAGAACCUCGCAUGGGAUGGACUCAGUACUCUGCUGCAACUGCAUUUCAGUUUAACUUCUCCCUUUACCCAGUCCUAACUUCCUUAUUCCCUAAAAAAUGUUUCUGGGAGUGCUCCUCAGUAAACUUCAUGCAUAAACACUUCAGAGGCUCAGAGUAUGUUUCCUGGAGAAUUCCAUCUGUGGCGUUUCCUCUUCAUGCCUACUGCCACCAUCCAGGUUUAGGCCCCCAUUACCGCUUACCUGGAAUAUUGCAAAAGCUUUAUCACUAUUCUCUUUGCUCACUGGCUCUCCUAUAAUCAGUCUACACAACAGCAGACUAAUUUUUUUUAUCCCAGAUCAUAGCUCUUAUGCUGUUUUCCUGCUCAAAAACUUUGGUGGCCCCCCAGUCUAUUUAAUUAGGUUCUUACUCCUUAUUGUGAUUUUCAAGACCCUUCCCAAUUUAGCCCCCACUAUUUUCAGCUCUCAUCUUCUACUCCAGUAUAAGUAUGCUCCGCUCCAUUUAAACUAGAACAUUUGCAAUCCUCCAAAUCUACUGUAAAAAUUCAUUUUUCCUAUAUUUGUUCCAAAUGUUCUCUUCUAUUAUCUUCUUUAUAAAAUUUGAACCAUAUUUCAAGGUCCAUUCUCCUUUUUCUUUUUCAUUUUUUUUCUAGAUGGAGUCUCGCACUGUCGCCCAGGCUAGAGUGCAGUGGCGCGAUCUCGGCUUACUGCAACCUCCGCCUCCUGGGUUCAAGCGAUUCUCCUGCCUCAGCCUUCCGAGUAGCUGGGAUUACAGGUGCCCCCCACCACACCCAGCUAAUUUUUGUAUUUUUAGUAGAGACGGGAUUUCACUGUAUUGGCCAGGCUGGUCUCAAACUCCUAACCUUGUGAUCUACCCACCUCGGCCUCCCAAAGUGCUGGGAUUACAGGCGUGAGCCACUGCUCCUGGCCAGGCUUAAGGUCCAUUGUGAGAGCAAUAUUCAUUCUUGGCAUACCUGUAUCAAUGUAUCUUAUGUACCCCAUAAAUAUAUAUCCCUACUAUGUGACCAAAAAAAUUAAAAAUAAAAUAAAAAUUUAAAACCC
This 2413-nucleotide long non-coding RNA is filed under the name Homo sapiens (human). RNAcentral's name for it is "novel transcript". Lineage: Eukaryota; Metazoa; Chordata; Mammalia; Primates; Hominidae. The record is from RNAcentral.